AGUAACCUGCCCUGGAGUGGGGAAUAACAGCUGGAAACAGCUGCUAAUACCGCAUAAUGCAGUUGGGCCGCAUGGCUCUGACUGCCAAAGAUUUAUCGCUCUGGGAUGGACUCGCGUCUGAUUAGCUAGUUGGUGGGGCAACGGCCCACCAAGGCGACGAUCAGUAGCCGGACUGAGAGGUUGGCCGGCCACAUUGGGACUGAGACACGGCCCAGACUCCUACGGGAGGCAGCAG
Molecule: ribosomal RNA, 235 nt
Filed under: uncultured bacterium
Lineage: Bacteria
Description: partial 16S ribosomal RNA
Rfam family: Bacterial small subunit ribosomal RNA
Source: RNAcentral